GAUUGUUAUAUAAAGUCUAGCCUGCCCACUGAUUUGUUUUAAAGGGCCGCGGUAUAUUGACCGUGCGAAGGUAGCAUAAUCAUUAGUCUUUUAAUUGGAGGCUUGUAUGAAUGGUUGGACAAAAAGUAAGCUGUCUCGAUUAUAAUAAUUGAACUUAACUUUUAAGUGAAAAGGCUUAAAUGUUUCAGGGGGACGAUAAGACCCUAUAAAGCUUGACAAUAACUUCGUUAUAUUAUAAAUUGUUAGUAUAACUUGAUUUUAACGGGGGUUUGUUUCGUUGGGGCGACGGGAAUAUAAUAAAUAACUGUUCUUUUAAAUAUAAUUACAAAAAUGUUUGGUAAAUAAUUGAUCCUCUAUUAGAGAUUAAAAGAUUAAGUUACUUUAGGGAUAACAGCGUAAUCUUCUUUGAGAGUCCACAUCGACAAGAAGGUUUGCGACCUCGAUGUUGAAUUAAGGUAUCCUUAUAAUGCAGCAGUUAUAAAGGAGGGUCUGUUCGACCUUUA
This 503-nucleotide ribosomal RNA is filed under the name Penaeus canaliculatus. RNAcentral describes it as "partial 16S ribosomal RNA". It matches the Rfam family "Bacterial large subunit ribosomal RNA", at positions 1838 to 2590 of the family's 2925-position model. The record is from RNAcentral. Lineage: Eukaryota; Metazoa; Arthropoda; Malacostraca; Decapoda; Penaeidae.